Molecule: ribosomal RNA, 240 nt
Rfam family: Bacterial large subunit ribosomal RNA
CGAAAUUCCUUGUCGGGUAAGUUCCGACCUGCACGAAUGGCGUAACGACUUCGCCGCUGUCUCAACCACGGACUCGGCGAAAUUGCACUACGAGUAAAGAUGCUCGUUACGCGCGGCAGGACGGAAAGACCCCGGGACCUUCACUAUAGUUUGGUAUUGGUGUUCGGUACGGCUUGUGUAGGAUAGGUGGGAGACUGUGAAGCGCUCACGCCAGUGGGUGUGGAGUCAACGUUGAAAUAC